GGACUACCGGGGUAUCUAAUCCCGUUUGCUCCCCUGGCUUUCGCGCCUCAGCGUCAGAAAAGGUCCAGCCCGUCGCUUUCGCCACCGGCGUUCCUUCGGAUAUCAACGCAUUUCACCGCUCCACCCGAAGUUCCACAGGCCCCUACCUCCCUCCAGACGAGUCGUCUCCAAGGCACUUCCCCAGUUAAGCUGGGGGCUUUCACCCCGGACUGGCUCGCCCGCCUACGCGCCCUUUAAGCCCAGUGAUUCCGAACAACGUUAGGACGGUUCGUCUUACCGCGGCUGCUGGCAC
This 292-nucleotide ribosomal RNA is filed under the name uncultured bacterium. RNAcentral describes it as "partial 16S ribosomal RNA". The record is from RNAcentral. RNAcentral also lists the same sequence under 2 other names.